GGCGGCGUAGCUCAGCGGUUAGAGCAGGGUCUUCAUAAGGCCAAGGUCAGUGGUCCGACUCCACUCGCCGCUA
Molecule: transfer RNA, 73 nt
Filed under: Patescibacteria group bacterium
Lineage: Bacteria
Also listed under: 3 other names
Description: tRNA-Met
Rfam family: tRNA
About the family: Transfer RNA (tRNA) molecules are approximately 80 nucleotides in length. Their secondary structure includes four short double-helical elements and three loops (D, anti-codon, and T loops). Further hydrogen bonds mediate the characteristic L-shaped molecular structure. tRNAs have two regions of fundamental functional importance: the anti-codon, which is responsible for specific mRNA codon recognition, and the 3' end, to which the tRNAs corresponding amino acid is attached (by aminoacyl-tRNA synthetases). tRNAs cope with the degeneracy of the genetic code in two manners: having more than one tRNA (with a specific anti-codon) for a particular amino acid; and 'wobble' base-pairing, i.e. permitting non-standard base-pairing at the 3rd anti-codon position.
Source: RNAcentral